CACCGCCGGCUGUACUACUGCCA
Molecule: non-coding RNA, 23 nt
Filed under: Arabidopsis thaliana (thale cress)
Lineage: Eukaryota; Viridiplantae; Streptophyta; Magnoliopsida; Brassicales; Brassicaceae
Source: RNAcentral